UACAGAGACCUCAAGCGUUAUCCGGAUUCACUGGGCGUAAAGCGUCCGCAGGCGGUCUGAUGCGUCUUUUGUUAAAGCCCCGAGCUUAACUCGGGAAUCGCAAGAGAUACGGUCGGACUAGAGGCCGGGAGAGGUAAGCGGAAUUGCCGGUGUAGCGGUAAAAUGCGUUUAUAUCGGCAAGAACACCAAAGGCGAAGGCAGCUUACUAGAACGGUCCUGACGCUCAUGGACGAAAGCGUGGGUAGCGAAUGGGAUUAGAUACCCCAGUAGUCCACGCCCUAAACGAUGGGUGCUAGGUAUUGGAAGUUUCGACCCUUCCAGUGCCGUCGUAACAAGCUAACGCGUUAAGCACCCCGCCUGGGUAGUACGGUCGCAAGACUAAAACUCAAAGGAAUAGACGGGGACCCGCACAAGCGGUGGACCAUGUGGUUCAAUUCGACGAUGAGCGAAGAACCUUACCAGGGUUUGACAUGUCGCUGCAUGCCCGAGGAAACUCGAGCAGCCUUCGAGGGUGCGACACAGGUGCUGCAUGGCUGUCAUCAGCUCGUGGCGUGAGCUGUACCCUUAAGUGGGGUAACGAGCGCAACCCUCAUCCUGCGUUAGUAUGUCGCAGGAAACCGCCCCCCACUUUGUUUUUCAGAAAUCUGGAAAAUAAAGUGGGGGGAGGAAGGUGGGGAUGACGUCAAGUCAGCAUGGCCCUUAUAUCCUGGGCGACACACGUGGUACAAUGGCCGGUACAGAGGGUUGCCAAGCCGUAAGGCGGAGCUAAUCCCAUCAAAGCCGGCCCCAGUUCGGAUUGAGGUCUGCAACUCGACCUCAUGAAGUUGGAAUCGCUAGUAACCGUGGGUCAGCUACACCACGGUGAAUACGUUCUCGGGUCU
This 881-nucleotide ribosomal RNA is filed under the name uncultured bacterium. RNAcentral describes it as "bacterial SSU rRNA". It matches the Rfam family "Bacterial small subunit ribosomal RNA", at positions 524 to 1381 of the family's 1533-position model. The record is from RNAcentral.